UACGUAGGGGGCAAGCGUUGUCCGGAUUUAUUGGGCGUAAAGCGCGUGUAGGCGGCCAGAUAGGUCUGCUGUGAAAACUCGAGGCUCAACCUCGAGCUGUCGGCGGAAACCAUCUGGCUAGAGUCCGGAAGAGGAGAGUGGAAUUCCUGGUGUAGCGGUGAAAUGCGCAGAUAUCAGGAAGAACACCUAUGGCGAAGGCGGGUCUCUGGACAGUUCCUGACGCUGAGGCACGAAGGUCAGGGGAGCGAACGGG
This 253-nucleotide ribosomal RNA is filed under the name uncultured bacterium. Its description in RNAcentral is "partial 16S ribosomal RNA". It matches the Rfam family "Bacterial small subunit ribosomal RNA", at positions 524 to 776 of the family's 1533-position model. The record is from RNAcentral.